CUGCCUGAUGUGGUGGUUCUACCGCAAAGCGCCCUCGGGCUUCUCCGGCGCCUCCACGGCCGAGGAGGUCACUGCCGGCGUCGAUGGCCGCGGCCUGGUCGCCGUCAUCACCGCGCAGGUGCGUCCAGCGGCAUCGGGCUGGAGACGGCGCGCGUCCUGGCGAUGCGCGGCGUGCACGUCGUCAUGGCCGUGCGCAACGUCUCCGCCGGCCUCGCGGCCAAGGAGGCCAUCGCGGCGAAGAUCCCCGGCGCGAGAGUGGACGUGCUGGAGCUGGACCUCAGCUCCAUGGCUUCAGUGAGGAGAUUCGCCUCCGAGUUCCAGUCUCUCAACCUGCCCCUCAACAUUCUCAUGUACGGACGAACAAUUCCUUCCUCCUACUUCAUACAGUACCACCAGAGAUCACAAACAAGUUGAAAUAAAGGCGGCCUGAAAUUUCGCCAUUGGUUUGGAUCUGUUUGGUGUUGGAUUGAUCUUUUUCCUAAUAGACCCAACGGUCUAUUAGGCCUUUGAUUUGCGCCCUGAUCGGGGGCGCCCAACCCUGAAUGGUUGGUGGGCCCCGCUGCACAGCGCUAAAAUAAAGAGGGGUGAAGGGGCCGGGGCACGCAGAACGAAGUUCGUCGCGCCGCCAGCACCCUCUCCUACAUCCUAAACCCUAGCCGAUCUAGAGGGGCGCUGGAGCAGCGGGAAUCUCCACCACUGCCAUCGAAGCUGAUUCAUCGGCGUCCCCUUCACCGUUCUCGACUCCAACGUCACGUCCACGACGCCUCUGCACUGCUCGUCGCCGCCUUUGAGCGGAUCUCCAUCAACGAACCUGUGAUGGCCGGGCCAAGCUCUUCUGCAGGAACCGAAGCAACAAUGCUGGAGUGAUGACGAGGCACUGCAAGCUUUCCCGCGACGGCCUGGAAUUGCAUUUCGCCACUAAUCACAUUGGUGUGUCUUCUAUAGCACUACAUCCCCAAUUGUGUGAAUUGUUCGAAUGCUUCUCUUGUUUAACUGCCAAAGAGUGUGACUUGGAUAUCUGAAUGUUCAUGUAUGUGGCUUGGAUAUCUGAAUGUUCAUGUAUGGUGGCUGGUGGCUUGGAUAUCUGAAUGUUCAUGUAUGUGGCUUGGAUAUCUGAAUGUUCAUGUAUAGCACUACAUCGGAGGAAUGUUUAGGCUUGUUUUAUGAAUUAUGAGCAUACUGAUUCUGACAAUGCAGUAGCGUUGGACUCGGAUGGCAGGCCAUUUUCUUCUAACAAACCUCUUACUGGAGAACAUGAAGAGUAGCUGCAGGGACGGUGGUGUUGAGGGGAGGAUCGUCAAUCUGACGUCUUCAGCCCAUUUCAUGACCUAUCCUGAAGGGAUAUGUUUCGAUAAAAUUCAUGAUCCUUCAGGUUUGAAUGACUUCAUUGCUUACGGUCAAUCAAAGCUUGCCAACAUUCUUCAUUGUAACGAACUGUCCCGAAUCCUCAAGGAGGAAGGAGUGAAUAUUUCUGCUAAUGCAGUUCAUCCUGGUGUCGUCACGACGAACCUUUUUAGGAACAGGACUAUUGUCUCUGGUGGAGAAGAAGAAGGGGAGAGGAAGAAGAAGCUCAGGAAGAGCACACACGGCAGUGGAGCUGCUUAAAACCACUGAGCUGCAGCUACUCUCUCCUUUAUACACAACCAAGUCAAGGUGAGUCAUUUACAAGGUAUGGCCUUACAGUGCUUUGCAGCUUCUAACACUACUUGCUACUGCUGCUGCUACUACUUGCUACUGCUGCCAUGCUGCUACUAGCAGCUGCAACUAUGCUCACUAGUCUUUGCCGCCCAAAAUCAAGUGGCAAGCCACGGCAGGUCAAAGAGGUAGAGCUACUACUACUAUAAAGAAAGAGAGCAAGCUAGAGCAUGGUGAUUAUCUAACAAAUCUUCCCCUAAUCGCAUUGCUCUUGCUUGAUUUCCUCAACUCCAAUCUUGGUCCUCAACUCUGUGAGUCGAACGCGCCCAAGUGGCUUGGUGAGGAUGUCACCGAGCUGUCGAGCAGUCUCGACAUGCUCGAGCUUGAUCUGUCCACCAUCGACGCAGUCACGGAUGUAGUGGAACUUGGUGUCGAUGUGCUUGCUCCGGUCGUGGUGGACGGGGUUCUUGGCAAGGGCAAUGGCGGACUGGUUGUCCACCAUCAGGACGGGUGCCCGAGCGUCUUCUCCGGUGAGCUCUGCCAGCAGCCUCCCCAGCCAAACUCCCUGGCAACAUGCCGUCGCCGCCGCAAUGUACUCUGCCUCGCAAGUGCUUAGCGCGACGACCUUCUGCUUCGUCGAUUGCCAGGAGAUCGGGCACGCUCCAAGGAAGAAGAGCACGCCAGUCGUGCUCCGCCGUCCAUCAACGUCGCCCGCCAUGUCGCUGUCGCUGAAACCGAUCAGCUCCAGCUCUCCCCUGCUCCUCCUUGGGUAGAUGAGCCCGUAGCCGCGCGUCCCCGCCACAUAGCGGAGCAGAUGCUUGACCGCGGCGAGGUGAUCCUCCCGCGGUUCCGCCAUGAACCGGCUCACGUACCCCACGGCGAACCCAAUGUCCGGCCGCGUGUGUGUGAGGUAGCGUAGCCCGCCGACGAUGCUCCGGUAGCUCGUGGCGUCCACCAAGGAGGCAGUGCUGUCCUUUGACAGCUUGAUCUUCUCCUCCAUGGGCGUCUGGCACGCCCUGCACUCGCCCAUCCCGCUCCGCUCCAGCAGCUUCUCGGCGUAGGAGCUCUGGCGGAGCGUGAUGGCGUCCCUCCCCUGCUCCACCUCGAUCCCGAGAUAGUAGGUGAGCAGGCCGAGGUCAGACAUGCGGAACAUCGCCUUCAUCUUCUUCUUGAACGCAUCGAUGUCACGCUGCUCUGUGCCGGUGACGAUGAGGUCGUCGACGUACACGCCGACGAUUACCAGUCCGCCCUUCGACCGGUGCGUGUAGAGGGCGUGCUCGGUGGCGCACUUGGUGUAGCCGAGCGUGGUGAGGCUGGCGUCGAGCUUGAUGUUCCAUGCGCGCGGCGCCUGACGCAGCCCGUACAAGGCCUUGCGCAGGCGGAGCACCCUGUGCUCCUCGCCGGCGACGACAAAUCCCGGCGGUUGCUGCACGUACACUUCCUCAGCGAGUUCCCCGUUGAGGAACGCCGAUUUCACGUCCAGAUGAUGGACCUCCCAGCUCCUUGACGCCGCCAGCGCCAGUAGUAGGCGCACAGACUCCAUGCGCGCCACCGGCGCAAAGACUUCUUCGAAGUCGAUGCCCUCGCGCUGCACGAAUCCUUUGGCCACGAGCCGCGCCUUGUGCCGCACCACCUCGCCGCGCUCGUUCUUCUUCACCUUGAACACCCACUUCAAUCCGAUCGGCCGGCAUCCGAUCGGCAGGUCCACAAGUUCCCACAUGUGGUUCUCCUCCACCGCCGCCAUCUCCUCCAGCAUCGCCACCCGCCAGCAAGCCUCCUGCUCUGCUGCGGCGAAGCUCGGUGGCUCCUCUGCGCUGCCCAGGUGCAGCUCGAGAUCGUCCAGCACCCGGGCCGCCUGCCCUGGUGGACUGGAAUCACCGACGAGAUCAUCCACCGCGCGGAACCGGAGCGGCUCGCCGGAGUACUCCGCAUCGACGUUCGAGGAGGCGCUCGGAGGAGGCGUGACGUAGUGGAUCGGCGAUGCUGAGCCUGGUGAUGGUGCCGCAGGUGUGGCCGGCGACCCCGCAGGCAAAUGCGGAGCCGGUUCCGCUUCCCCUGUUUCCGAAAUAGGGGAGGCUGGAGCAGGGGAGCCGCCGCCUGGGCUCGUUGCCGCCGCACCUGAAGCAGGGGAGCCAACUCCUGGGCUCGCCGCUGCUUCCCCGUCGGCGUCCUUCCCGCCCUGGACCUCCACGUGCUCGAUGAUGAAGUCCCUCCAGGCUCCGCGCACUGCUUCCCCAUCACCUUGCUCCUCCUCCCAACUCCAACACGCCGCCUCAUCAAAAACCACGUCGCGGGACACCACCACGCGCCGUGCCUGCGGAUCGUAGAGCCGGUACGCCUUGCUACCGCGCUCGUAACCCAGGAACACCAUCGGGCUGCUCCGAUCCUCCAACUUGGGGAGGUUUGGCUUCGUCUUCUUCACAUGCCCGAUGCAGCCGAAUGUCCUGAGGAAGGACACGUCCGGCUUCCUCCCGUGCCAUGCCUCGAACGGCGUCAUGCCGUCCAAGCUCUUGGUGGGCGCGCGGUUCAGAAUGAACACCGCCGUGCUCACCGCCUCGCCCCAGAACGCCGCCGGCAUCCUCUUGGCCUUGAGCAUGCUCCUCGCCAUGCCGACGACCGUCUGGUUCCUCCUUUCCACGACGCCGUUCUGCUGCGGCGAGUACGGCGCCGUGAGAUGGCGUUCCACGCCUUGUCCGGCGCAGUAGAGCCCGAACUCGAUCGAAGUGAACUCGCCGCCGCGAUCCGUCCGCAGCACGCGCAGCUUCUUCCCCGAUUCUGUCUCCACCCGCGCCUGGAACUCCUUGAUCGCCGCCGGCGCCUCAUCCUUGCUUGACAGGAGGUGCAGCCACAUGUAGCGGUUGCAGUCGUCCACCAGAAGCAGGAAGUAGCGCCGCCCGCCGUGCGUUGCUGGCGUGAUUGGCCCGCAGAGGUCGCCGUGGACGAGCUCGAGGAUGUCGCCGGCGCGGUAGCUCGCCUUCUUGGGGAAAGGCAGCCUCCUCUGCUUCCCAGCGAGGCAGCUGUCGCAGAGCUCGCCCGCGUGCUCGAUCAGCGGCAGCCCUCUCACCAUGCCUCGCCUCGCCAUCCUGGCCAGAGCGUCAAAGCUCAGGUGGCCGUAGCGCGCGUGCCAGCGCCAUGCGUCGUCGUCGCAGCGUGCCGCCAAGCACACCGGGCGCGCAAUGCGCAGCGCCAGGGUGUAGAGGCGGUUCUUGCUCCGCGCGACCUUGGCGAGUAGCUUCCGCUCGCGAUCUCUGAUCCGGAGCAUGCCUCCGUCAAUCAGCACCUGGCAGCCUCGCUCGUCGAGCUGGCCAAUGCUGAUGAUGUUGCUCCGGAGCUUGGGGAUGAAGUACACGUUCGUGAGCGCCUUGUGCUCGCCGUCCUUGCACUGGAACACGACCGUGCCGCGCCCCUGAAUGCCAACGCCGGAGUUGUCCCCGAACUUCACGGUGCCGACGACUUCGGUGUCGAGCUCGGAGAAGGCCGCGCGGUUGCCGGUCAUGUGGUUGCUCGCGCCGGUGUCGAGGUACCACUGCUCCUCCGCCUCCUCUUCCGCCCGCCCGAGGUUGACCCGCGCGCGCGGUUCGUCGAGCUCGACGUGCCCGCCGCGAUCCUCUGCCUCGGUGUUGAUGGCGCAGACCUGCGCCAUGAGCAGCGCAGGCUCUUCCUCGUCAUCCUGGGCGAGAUGCGCCCUCUCCUGGCGCCUUGGCUCCUUGCAAUUUCGGGCCCAGUGCCCGAUUUUGCCGCAAUUGUGGCACCGAUCCUUGUCGGCGGCGCGAUUGCCGCCGUCCUUGUCGGUCCCCUCAGCCUUCCGCCGCGGUUUGCCGCGCCGCCUGCCGCGCGCACCGCUUCCGCCACCUCCGCGCGAAACAGAGGAAUCCUCCCCCUGCUUCCUCUCGCGCAGGCGCGCCGCCCACUGCUCCUCCGUGAGCAGUAGCUGGCCGCCGGCGGUCGUGCGGGCGGUUGCCUCCGCGCGAUCUUCAACCGCCUUGAGCCGCCCGGUCACCUCCUCGAUUGUGAGCGUGCUCAUGUCGAGCAGCGUCUCAAUCGAGAGCGCAAUCUGCGCGAAUCGCGGCGGCACGACGCGGAGAUACUUCGCCACCGCCUCCUCCUCGCCGAUGGCGACGCCGACCUGCGCUAGCUGGCUCACCAGUGAGGUGAGCCGCAGCGCGAAGUCCUCGAUGGCCUCUCCAUCGCGGAACGCGAUUGCCUCGUACUCCCGCCUGAGCUGCUGCGCCUUCGCCUUGCGCACGCGGUCGCCUCCCAGCCGCAUCGUCUCCAAACUCUCCCAGGCCUCCUUUGCGGAGUCCUUGGCGCCGAGCGGGACGACGUACUCUGUUGGCACCGACUUGAGGAUGGCCUCCAUGGCCGACUGGUCGUCUUCUUCGUCGGUGGUGCCCGUUGUCACCGCCGCCCACAGGCGCCUUGCCUUGAGCAUCACCUUCAUCAGCACCACCCACUCGGCGUAGUUCGUGCGGGUGAGCAUGGGAUACUGCGCGUUGCCGGCUUCCCGCACCGUCUUCUUCACGACGUACGUCGUCUGCCGACCACGCCGCUCCGGGGAACGCCCGCGCCCACGCUCACGAUCCAGGGAAGUCAUGGCCACCAAGCUCGAACACUCAAGCUCUGAAUACCACUUGUUGGCACUCCCUCACCACACUCACUCACUCUUGCAGGUGGAGAAGAAGAAGGGGAGAGGAAGAAGAAGCUCAGGAAGAGCACACACGGCAGUGGAGCUGCUUAAAACCACUGAGCUGCAGCUACUCUCUCCUUUAUACACAACCAAGUCAAGGUGAGUCAUUUACAAGCUGCAACUAUGCUCACUAGUCUUUGCCGCCCAAAAUCAAGUGGCAAGCCACGGCAGGUCAAAGAGGUAGAGCUACUACUACUAUAAAGAAAGAGAGCAAGCUAGAGCAUGUUUUAUUGAACUCCAUUGGAAGAAUCAUCUGCAGAAGUGUAGAACAGGGUGCUGCUACGACAUGCUAUGUGGCAAUGCAUCCCCAAAUCAAGGGCAUAAGUGGGAAAUACUUUGCCAACUGCAAUAUAGGCAGCCCAAGCUCGCAAGCUUCAGAUCCUGAGUUGGCCAAGAAGCUAUGGCAGUUCAGCUUGCAGACAAUGUCUUCUUGAUCAAGUGAUUAUCUGAACAAGUGAUGCACAGUUUGUUGUACUUAAUGUUUACAGGGCUCUUCUGGAUAUAUGUUGUCAGUGUAUGUACUGCUAUCAAUUAAAUUGCCUCGAUCUGGAUCAAAAUUUUAAAUUUAAACAACACACUAUGAUAAAGUUAUUACAUUUUUUUUACAUAA
RNA transcript from Panicum virgatum (switchgrass), 6932 nucleotides. It is a transcript of the gene named short-chain dehydrogenase TIC 32, chloroplastic-like, with no coding region annotated. Lineage: Eukaryota; Viridiplantae; Streptophyta; Magnoliopsida; Poales; Poaceae. The record is from RefSeq and is a predicted model, not a curated record. The transcript has 9 exons.